RNAcentral lists this ribosomal RNA (419 nucleotides) under uncultured bacterium. Its description in RNAcentral is "bacterial SSU rRNA". It matches the Rfam family "Bacterial small subunit ribosomal RNA", at positions 425 to 842 of the family's 1533-position model. The record is from RNAcentral.
GUAAACCUUUUUUGCCGGGGAGCAAAGUGCCGCACGUGUGCGGUUUGGAGAGUACCCGGAGAAAAAGCAUCGGCUAACUCCGUGCCAGCAGCCGCGGUAAUACGGAGGAUGCGAGCGUUAUCCGGAUUUAUUGGGUUUAAAGGGUGCGUAGGCGGACGCUUAAGUCAGCGGUAAAAUUGCGGGGCUCAACCUCGUCGAGCCGUUGAAACUGGGUGCCUUGAGUGGGCGAGAAGUACGCGGAAUGCGUGGUGUAGCGGUGAAAUGCAUAGAUAUCACGCAGAACUCCGAUUGCGAAGGCAGCGUACCGGCGCCCAACUGACGCUGAAGCACGAAGGCGUGGGUAUCGAACAGGAUUAGAUACCCUGGUAGUCCACGCAGUAAACGAUGAAUGCUAGUUGUCCGGGGCGAUUGAGUUCUGG